GGAAGGUUGGCAGAGAGGUCGAUGGCGUCAGUCUUGAAAACUGAAGACCUGCAAGGGUCCGGGGGUUCGAAUCCCUCACCUUCCGCCA
This 88-nucleotide transfer RNA is filed under the name Candidatus Borkfalkia stercoripullorum. RNAcentral describes it as "tRNA-Ser". It matches the Rfam family "tRNA". Rfam says of the family: Transfer RNA (tRNA) molecules are approximately 80 nucleotides in length. Lineage: Bacteria; Bacillati; Bacillota; Clostridia; Christensenellales; Christensenellaceae. The record is from RNAcentral.